CCUUUUCCCUGAGAAAAAUCUGUUAAUCUUUGCUGCUGACUUAUCAAAUCCUCCAGUCACCUGUUUGCCAUCAUUUUCAUGAGCUGAUAACGUGUUUAUUAGAGCCAUAAUAUGCAGGUGGAAGCAUAAAGGUCUCAUUUGGUGGAGUAUGAAUUCUGUCUCAUAUAUCUGUAUGGGAAAGCUUGUUUUCACCCUUCAGCUAUGCCUCAGAAAACAAGAGGAGAACAGAAUGUCUCAGCAGAUCCAGUAGUCUACCAGGCUGAUGUUCCAAGGCGCCUUACAACUCCUGAAGUCUGCUUCUGUGCCCAGUAAUCUCCUGAAUCUGCAUUUUACACAAACUCUGAGCCAGUGCUGACCAUGCCCAGACUAACGCCUCCUGGAAUAGCCUUCCCUACCGCUGAAAACCUUGCCAGAAUUAAUCACAGAUCAAUGCAUCAAAACCUGUGAGAAACAAGUCCCAGACUCAUGGUCCUUGCUCACAACUCAUUGCUCCUGAUACAAGAGUGAUCAUUUCUACCACAUUUUGUUUCAUCCUUGUCCCUGACUACUUGGCUGAAAUUCUUGAAUUGAGGAAAAUACUGACAAGUAUCAAAUAAUGUAUGAACCUUUGACACAGCAUUGCAGAAAAAAAUGGCAUUUCUACUAAGAUUUGUGAACAUUCCAGAUUCACCAGUUUUUCUAAAAAUACCUCUUAAUACCCCAGUAUUAACAAAUGAAAAAGAACUGGAGAAUAUAAAGAAAAAACAAUGAAGAAAGAAAUGGAAAAAAAACCUUGCAAUAUUUGACUGCAAAAGCUAUCGUUGGAGAGAUCAUAUUAUGCAGUUGGUUCUAUCUAACCACCUCACCUAAAACUUGUGGCAGUUAGAGAUAAUCCAACAGUGGAAAGCAGAGAAUCCAACAGAAAGGCAGAGGUCUGCCUCAAAGGGCCAGCAACAUCCUUUUUUUGCUCUCAGAGCAGUUCCUACUUCAUGUGUGGUGUCCCACAGGCCCAUUGGACCACAAGCCCUAAGGAGGAGCACUAAGCCAGUUAUUCCUGUUUUUGAAGGGGAAGUGAGGGGAGAGACAGGAGGAGGCAAAAAUGGUGGUGGCUGCUGGAGAAGCAGAAUUUGAAGAUCAAGAUUUCCCAACUGAGAUUAGAAGAAAAAUAAAAUAAAAAAAUAAAGAACUGUAUCUCCUUGGGUAUUUUCUGACACUUCCCAAAAUGUAUCUAAACAGUGCUGGUCUUAUCAGAUAGGGGCACUGAGAGAUGGAUGUGAGCCAGCUGACAGCCAUGUGAGUAAAGGAGGGCAAGGGGCAGCCAACAUGAAAGCUCAGGCUACUGCAGAGCAAGGGAAAGCAUUUCCCAGGCUGUCCCUUAAGUAUAGAGAAAGGAGAGGAACACCACAGAAAGAAAGCAGGCCAUGCCCGAACCCCUGGGGGAUAAACAUUUAAGGACAAGGUAGAAAAGAAUUGCUUAGAGCCAUUGCAAACCCAGCAGUGCUGAGUUCAGCCUGGGCCAAGGCACUCCAGCCCAGCUCGCCAAACUUCGAAGUGGCUCCAUACAAACCUAAGCAGCCUCUUACCUUCCUAUCUGAUGGGCUCUUAAUGCAGCUCCUCCAUCUCCUACGUGUGAACAGUUGUAAUGUUUUGCUCUUACUUGCUAUAGGAUACAAGAGCUGUAAUAGCAAGGGAAAGGCUGAAGAGAAAACAGGAUAAGAACCUAGGAUUAAAGAAAAAAUUAUUAAUUGUCAUUAAUAAAAAAAAAACCUAAACAGAGUUGCAAGUUUCUGUAUUUAUCAUACAAACUUCCCUUGAAAACAAACAAGCCCUAGUCCCCCCGAGGACUUUUCCUACAGUCACUGAAGAUAUCUAAUGAGGCAAUAUUUAAGAGACCUAAUUAUAAGAAAAAAAUAAACCUUGAUAACAAUCUUAUCCCACGUACAGCUCAAAUAUGACUCAGAGUUUAUUUUAAUAAUCCUCUCAGGUUAACACAACACAGUCCAAGCUAUGCUGUAGCAAUGCAACUACUGAGAGAUCAUGAAGAGGAGCUAGGAAGUCACCCACAACAGGAUGCCUGACAAAACAAAGGUGAAAGACCAGAGAUGUGCUAUGGAGGGCUGCAAAUAGCAGCCUUGAGAAAGCAGGGCUUUGCAUUGCAAACUCAUAUCAUUAUAUCAAUUUUGGCCACUUUGCUCUGAUCACCUGUGUCAACAAGGCAUUUCCUCUGUUCUGUACCUUGAGCCACAUUGC
This is a long non-coding RNA of Hirundo rustica (Barn swallow), 2229 nucleotides long. RefSeq lists it as uncharacterized. NCBI's taxonomy places the organism in Eukaryota, Metazoa, Chordata, Aves, Passeriformes, Hirundinidae. The record is from RefSeq and is a predicted model, not a curated record. The transcript is spliced from 3 exons.